GGCCAGGUAGCUCAGUUGGUAGAGCACGGCAUUGAAAAUGCCGGUGUCCCCGGUUCAAGUCCGGGUCUGGCCA
RNAcentral lists this transfer RNA (73 nucleotides) under Algisphaera agarilytica. It matches the Rfam family "tRNA". From Rfam's summary of the family: Transfer RNA (tRNA) molecules are approximately 80 nucleotides in length. Their secondary structure includes four short double-helical elements and three loops (D, anti-codon, and T loops). The record is from Rfam by way of RNAcentral. RNAcentral also lists the same sequence under 4 other names. Lineage: Bacteria; Pseudomonadati; Planctomycetota; Phycisphaerae; Phycisphaerales; Phycisphaeraceae.